UGGACACAGGAUGCAAGCACAGUGCUCAACUGCGGUGCUCAGACAUGGGGCGUGGGCACGGUGCUGGGGCAUGGUGCUUGUCCGCGCGCCAUGAACAUGGUGUAUGGACAUGGUGCUCACCAGGGUCUGUGAACAUGGUGCUCAGUCACGGUGCUUGGUUACGGUGCUCGACCGCGACGCGUGAACAUGGUGCUCGACCGCGGUGCUUGGACACAGUGUGUGAACCUGGUGCUCAGGCAAGGGGUGUGAACAUGGUGCUCAGCCUGGUGCAUGGGGGUGCUGUGCAUGGACAGUGCACGGUGCACAACCACGGUGCAAGGGCAUGGCAUGUGGAUGCAGUGCUCCGGCACCGUGCAUGACCACGGUGCUCAGCCAUGGUGCUUAGAUGUGGUGCUCAGUCAUGGGGCUCGGGGACGGUGCUUGGGCACGGGGUACGGGCAUGGUGCAUGGACGUGGUGCUUGGGCAUGCUCCGCACAUACGGUGCUCACCCACCGUGCUCAGACACGUGCUUGGCCGUGGUGCUUGGGCAUGGUGCUUGGCACCGUGCACGGACACAGUGCUUGGCCAUGGUGCUUGGGCAUGGUGCUUGGCACCGUGCAUGGACACAGUGUUUGGCCACCCUGUGCACAAACACAAGGCAUGGUGCUCCCUCACCACGCACGGGCACGUGUUGGACCAUGGUGCUUGGGUAUGGUGCUCAUCCACUGUGCACGGGUGCGAUGUUUGGCCGUGGUGCUCAGGCACGGUGCUGGGCACGGCGCCCUGUGGCUGAGCACCGUGCCCCUCCACGGCGCUUGUGCACAGCCCCUGCUUACCCCACGGGACACCCCGGGGCACGUCCCCCGCUCAGCACCGCGCUUGGCACCGCGCUUGGCACCGCGCUCACCCCACAGCUCAUCCUCCCCUCCCCACACCACGGUGUCCGCCCCACGGCGCCGCGCAUCCCGCUUCCGCCCGGCUCUUUCUUUUCCCCCUUUUUUCCCCCCCCCCCUUUUAUUUUCCAUGUUUUGGGGUUUAUUGGUGCUACUUCCUUCCCCUUCGGCUUCCCGUCAGCGCUGGGGCAGCAGCUCCCCCCCACGCCCCCCAACCAAGGCAAAUACCUCAAACCCCCCCCAAUUCCCCGAGCGAAUCCGGGGCGAAUCUUUCCGAAAUCAGGGAUCCUUCCGCAGCGGUUUCUUCCUUAAUUAUUAUGGGUCCCCCCCCCCCCCCCCCUUUUUCCCUUUCCGCCCGGGUUUGUUCCUCAUUUUUCCGCAUCCUUCAGGGAUUUCAAACUGCCGCAAUUUCAGCCUCAUUUUUAACCC
This 1302-nucleotide long non-coding RNA is filed under the name Strigops habroptila (Kakapo). RNAcentral's name for it is "lncRNA (ENSSHBG00005007698.1)". The record is from RNAcentral. Lineage: Eukaryota; Metazoa; Chordata; Aves; Psittaciformes; Psittacidae.